This is a non-coding RNA of Grammomys surdaster, 2998 nucleotides long. The record is from the annotation of a RefSeq genome assembly. NCBI's taxonomy places the organism in Eukaryota, Metazoa, Chordata, Mammalia, Rodentia, Muridae.
ACCACAGCCAAGGAACAGAAAGGACUUCUAGCUUGUUACUAAUCCUCUGACUGCCUAGCUGAGCACACACAAACUGUUCUUAAACACUGGGCUGGAACCAGGACCUCCAGCUAUUCUCAUAUUCUCAGAUCUCUCUCUCUCUCUCUCUCUCUCUCUCUCUCUCUCUCUCUCUCUGUCUCUCUCUCUCUCUGCUAAUACCUUCCAGCCCCUAGACAAUGGUAAGAAACUUUGCUUUUCAUGGAUUAUGGCCAGAGGCCACAUGUUUUAAGGCAAGUGUAGACAUUAACAUAUCCAUUUUCUCAGUGGGGAUUUACAUAUACCACUUCAAUAGGAAUCAGUAGCUUAUGAAAAUUCCCAGUAUUUUUUGUUUAAGAACAUAAACACUAAGAUUGAAAAAUACAUCUAAGUCAAAGUUCUGAAUUUUCUUGGUGUUACUCACUUUCUGUGAAAGAAAAUAUAGCAGCUCACUGUUUUCUUAUAUUCUAAGAUCAGCUGAGCUCAGUGUAUAUAGGUGUGGGGGCAUGAUAGAUUAUAGAAGUAUAAUAUUAAGCCAGAUAAUGUUUGGUUUUUUCAUAGUUUCAAGGUGAGAUUUACAUUGUCAACAAAGAAAGGUUGCUAAUAAACAAUCAAUUGAAAAGGAAUAAAAAGGGGAUAUUUACACCAAUUUCAUUAUCUCAAUGAAACCAAAGUAUUGUUCCGAAGACUAACAUUACUGGUAGAUCAUACCUUAUUUUGAAAUGAUCCUAUGAGCUAUAAAAUUUAGUGUUUUUUACAACACACAUCUAAGUCUUAAAUAGAAAGUGCCUUUUUCUUCGACUUCUCUGUCAUGAUUAAUGACCUCCCUUUUGGUGGCUCUUGGUAUCUGGGAACCAGUCAAGCUUUGGGCAUGGAAGGCAAUGUCCUUUCUAGGAAGGUCAGAUCCAGUUUACUGUUUCUUCAUAUGGAUGCUGUGCUCAACACCCCCAUUUGUCUUUGCUUCUGCUUUUGAGUCCUUCCUCACUGUACAAGGUUAUAGAAAAAGUUUCCAUCAAAAUCCCACCAGGAUGUGUGGCCACAGAAAGAAGGCUUCAUACUGAGAUAUUAUCUGUGUAGGGAGUAACUGAAAGAUGCUUUAUCUAGGAAGGAAUCUUUACUGACAUUGAAUAGAGGUAAGUGUUCAUGUUAGCAAAGUUACGAGAAAGGUGACAUGAAAACUUUGAAUGAUUUUGGUACAACUCCCUGGAACUCUAUAGGCAUCAGACCUAUACAUUACCUGGAAGACAGCUCACUCACACUAGAAAAGGGGUUUUCUAUUGACAGAGAGUACAGUGGCAAAGUCUCAGGUCCAACAGCCACAGCAUUACCUGAAAGAAACGGAGAAUUUCUAUCACUAAAGGUAGAUUGAAGGUUGAACUUACAAUGUACAGCUAGCAUUCUUGAAUAGGUUGGAGAGAGCUUAAAACAAAUGUUCAAACGGUAAUGACCUCAGCCUUGGUGGUUUGUAAGCUUUCUGGGUGUUAAGCAUUCUUUGUAGCUAUGGAUAGCACUGAAAGUUUUCUUCAGGUAAUUAGGCAAUGUGAAGAAUUAUUUGAUACCUCAUAGCAUGCACGGAACAUGUUGUGAGUGUGCAAUUGAGAUCACAGAAGUAACAAAAACGAAAGGGUAAGGAACAUGAAAAAUAUAAGGAAUUGUAUCCUAUUAGGAAUAAGCCUAAUAUGUUGACUAAAAUCAGAGAAAGAGUCCAUGCAAGUAUAAAUACAAAACAAGGCAUAAAUUCUUUCUGUUCUGAGAUGAUGCCUUGUGUGCAUAUACUACAAAUAUUGUUGUAUAAUUCAACUAUGAGAUUAUAAUCGGUAGUAGGCGUGUUUGUGUAAAGAGAGAUGAGGUGUGUUAAAUGUGCAGCUCAAACAUUUGUUGGAGACUGUGACAUCACUAAGUCACCGGAAGCCCAAGCGUUAAUUUCUCAUACAGGCCUCGAAUAUACCAGAGCCUGUCUUGGUCCUGAGAUGGGCUCCAGGUUCUUCUUCAUGGUCUCUAGUCUCCUGUGUGCAAAACACAUGGAGGCUGCAGUCACCCAAAGCCCAAGAAACAAGGUGACAGUAACAGGAAAAACUGUGACAUUGAGCUGUCACCAGACUAAUAGCCACAGCAACAUGUACUGGUAUCGGCAAGAUGUGGGGCAUGGUCUGAGGCUGAUCUAUUACUCAUAUGGUGCUGGCACCUUUGAAAAAGGAGAUAUCCCUGAUGGAUACAAUGCCUCCAGAACAAGACAAGAAGACUUCUCCCUCAUUCUGAAGUUGGCUUCCCCCUCUCAGACAUCUGUGUACUUCUGUGCCAGCAGUGAUACACAGUGACGCAUGACUUCCUCCUCUCUGCACAGAAAGGAACUUAGGAGAACAAAGUGCCUGUGUGUCUAGGAAGUGCCUGCCUCAGAGUCACCGAACUCUGACAAACUAGGAACCUUACAACAUAGAUCUCAGCUUGGCUGGAGGCCACUCUAACACUGUUUCAUAGGAGCUUGUCUCCUCUUUGGAAUUUUUGUUUCAGAGAGUGACAUCCUAACCACCUUAUCUAUACCAGUGGCCUUCAGUGAGCUCUUCAACCCCUGCUAGGGGGUCAAUUACAUGAUCUCUUUCCUGGCUCUAUUAAAUCUAUAGGUCAGUAGCUCCUUUUUUUUUUUUUAUUAGAACAAAUGGUCAUAAGGUCCUAUGCCAUCAGUCAUCUGUAUCACCAGCUUUCACUCUUCCCUGGUUCAUUCCACCUAAAUUUAUCUGCAGUCAGUACUUACUCACAUGUGUUGUGCUGUUCUGACCUUGAGAUAUUUUUCCUAGGACAAUUCUUGUGUACUAAAGAUAUACCUUUCCCUCUUAUUUCUAGAACUCAUUUUCCCUAGCAAAUAUAAUUCAGGGAGAAUUUUUUUUCUUUAUCCUUUUUUAAGAUGUUAGUUUAGUUACAUUGUUUCUUGCCCUACCUUUCCCUCUAUUUACCUGCCCCCCACAUUAAAAUUCAUGGUCUCUUA